This 303-nucleotide ribosomal RNA is filed under the name Triticum aestivum (bread wheat). RNAcentral's name for it is "partial small subunit ribosomal RNA". The record is from RNAcentral. Lineage: Eukaryota; Viridiplantae; Streptophyta; Magnoliopsida; Poales; Poaceae.
AUGCCGUCGCGGAUACCGGCCUGCGGCCUCUUGGAAGUAUCUGCACGUCCAACCACUUCCUGUCGACGUCUCUACCGCUGCAAUCGUUGUAAUUCCAUCUCCCAUAUGUGUACUGACGUCAUUAUUGGUGGAAUUCAUAUAUCUAUAAUCGCCGAGUUUCAGAAAAGAUAUAAGACUAUAAUACUAUGUAGUGUGGGAAUAAUUCAAAACGUGAGCCGCUGGAUGCACUCAGUCCGAUGGUGGAAAGUUGGCAAAUCCUUUUUUUUUCGAAACGGAGGCAAAAAAUUUGCCUCAUCUCAUUAA